Molecule: ribosomal RNA, 404 nt
Filed under: uncultured bacterium
Lineage: Bacteria
Description: bacterial SSU rRNA
Rfam family: Bacterial small subunit ribosomal RNA
Source: RNAcentral
AAUCAACGCUGGCGGCGUGCCUCAGACAUGCAAGUCGAACGCGAAAGUUUCCUUCGGGAGACAAGUAGAGUGGCGCACGGGUGAGUAACACGUAGGCAAUCUACCUUUGGAUGGGGGAAUAACAACCGGAAACGGUUGCUAAUACCGCAUAAUGCAGCGGCACCUAAUGGUGACAGUUGUUAAAGCGGGGGAUCGAAAGACCUCGCGUCUAAAGAGGAGCCUGCGGCGGAUUAGCAGUUGGUAAGGUAAUGGCUUACCAAGGCUACGAUCCGUAACCGGCCUGAGAGGGGCGGUCGGUCACACUGGGACUGAGACACGGCCCAGACUCCUACGGGAGGCAGCAGUCGGGAAUUUUGCGCAAUGGACGAAAGUCUGACGCAGCAACGCCGCGUGAGGGAUGACGG